UACGUAGGUGGCAAGCGUUGUCCGGAUUUACUGGGCGUAAAGAGCGCGCAGGCGGUCGUUCAAGUCGAGUGUGAAAGCCCCCGGCUCAACUGGGGAGGGUCACUCGAUACUGAUCGACUCGAAGGCAGAAGAGGGAAGCGGAAUUCCCGGUGUAGUGGUGAAAUGCGUAGAUAUCGGGAGGAACACCAGUGGCGAAGGCGGCUUUCUGGUCUGCUCUUGACGCUGAGGCGCGAAAGCUAGGGGAGCAAACGGG
Molecule: ribosomal RNA, 253 nt
Filed under: uncultured bacterium
Lineage: Bacteria
Description: partial 16S ribosomal RNA
Rfam family: Bacterial small subunit ribosomal RNA
Source: RNAcentral